RNAcentral lists this ribosomal RNA (421 nucleotides) under uncultured bacterium. RNAcentral's name for it is "bacterial SSU rRNA". It matches the Rfam family "Bacterial small subunit ribosomal RNA", at positions 360 to 773 of the family's 1533-position model. The record is from RNAcentral.
AAUUUUGGACAAUGGGGGCAACCCUGAUCCAGCCAUCCCGCGUGUGCGAUGAAGGCCUUCGGGUUGUAAAGCACUUUUGGCAGGGAAGAAACGGCGUCUCGUAAUAUGGGGCGUCACUGACGGUACCUGCAGAAUAAGCACCGGCUAACUACGUGCCAGCAGCCGCGGUAAUACGUAGGGUGCGAGCGUUAAUCGGAAUUACUGGGCGUAAAGCGUGCGCAGGCGGUUCGGAAAGAAAGAUGUGAAAUCCCAGGGCUUAACCCUGGAACUGCAUUUUUAACUCCCGGGCUAGAGUGUGUCAGAGGGGGGUAGAAUUCCACGUGUAGCAGUGAAAUGCGUAGAGAUGUGGAGGAAUACCGAUGGCGAAGGCAGCCCCCUGGGACAACACUGACGCUCAGGCACGAAAGCGUGGGGAGCAAAC